GAUGAACGCUGCGGCGUGCUUAACACAUGCAAGUCGAACGAUGAAGCCCAGCUUGCUGGGUGGAUUAGUGGCGAACGGGUGAGUAACACGUGAGUAACCUGCCCUUAACUCUGGGAUAAGCCUGGGAAACUGGGUCUAAUACCGGAUAGGAGCGUCCACCGCAUGGUGGGUGUUGGAAAGAUUUAUCGGUUUUGGAUGGACUCGCGGCCUAUCAGCUUGUUGGUGAGGUAAUGGCUCACCAAGGCGACGACGGGUAGCCGGCCUGAGAGGGUGACCGGCCACACUGGGACUGAGACACGGCCCAGACUCCUACGGGAGGCAGCAGUGGGGAAUAUUGCACAAUGGGCGCAAGCCUGAUGCAGCGACGCCGCGUGAGGGAUGACGGCCUUCGGGUUGUAAACCUCUUUCAGUAGGGAAGAAGCGAAAGUGACGGUACCUGCAGAAGAAGCACCGGCUAACUACGUG
RNAcentral lists this ribosomal RNA (465 nucleotides) under uncultured bacterium. RNAcentral's name for it is "partial 16S ribosomal RNA". It matches the Rfam family "Bacterial small subunit ribosomal RNA", at positions 28 to 507 of the family's 1533-position model. The record is from RNAcentral.